CAGCGCUAUUAAUCAUAAAAAAACUAACCAAACAGCGGCUGGUUUAAUAAGGAAACAGCCCGAAACACCAAACUGACGUCGCGCUGCUUUCAUGGGAGGACGCUGUCAGCAGAGGGUACAUCUGGGUGAAGCUACAGGAAGGUCUGAUUUUUCAUUUUAACACUAUCCACAAGAAAGCAACCCAUGAACUGCAUUUGAUAAACCAGAGGGAUACACUAACAAAGUCUGCAGUGGGUUAGGUGUGAAGGUCCAAACAUAAAGGCACAGACACCGAAACCUCAAUAAGGGGAAGCGGAAUAAGAAGCCGACUCUUUCAUUGCCUUCUUCUGUGACUCUUCCCUUCCCUCAGAUCAACAAAGCUCGGUGCUCUCACUGAACAUGUGUCAAAAAAGGAGGUCAACACGCAAGCAAAGAUGAACCCUUAUGUUACUUCUCACUUCAGGAGGGAUCUCUUCCCCCAUUUUCAUUUGUUGUAGACUUU
Molecule: long non-coding RNA, 481 nt
Organism: Oreochromis aureus
Lineage: Eukaryota; Metazoa; Chordata; Actinopteri; Cichliformes; Cichlidae
Exons: 3
Source: RefSeq, a predicted model, not a curated record